UACGAAGGGUGCAAGCGUUACUCGGAAUUACUGGGCGUAAAGGGUGCGUAGGUGGUUGUUUAAGUCUGCUGUGAAAGCCCCGGGCUCAACUUGGGAAUGGCAGUGGAUACUGGACAGCUAGAGUGCGGUAGAGGGUAGUGGAAUUCCCUGUGUAGCAGUGAAAUGCGUAGAGAUCGGGAGGAACACCGGUGGCGAAGGCAGCCAUCUGGACGACAACUGACGCUGAGACGCGAAAGCGUGGGGAGCAAACAGG
This 253-nucleotide ribosomal RNA is filed under the name uncultured prokaryote. RNAcentral describes it as "partial 16S ribosomal RNA". It matches the Rfam family "Bacterial small subunit ribosomal RNA", at positions 524 to 776 of the family's 1533-position model. The record is from RNAcentral.